CAUGUAGGCGGCCUAUUAAGUCGGGCGUGAAAAUGCGGGGCUCAACCCCGUAUGGCGCCCGAUACUGGUGGGCUUGAGUGCAGGAGAGGAAAGGGGAAUUCCCAGUGUAGCGGUGAAAUGCGUAGAUAUUGGGAGGAACACCAGUGGCGAAGGCGCCUUUCUGGACUGUGUCUGACGCUGAGAUGCGAAAGCCAGGGGAGCGAACG
RNAcentral lists this ribosomal RNA (206 nucleotides) under uncultured bacterium. RNAcentral's name for it is "partial 16S ribosomal RNA". It matches the Rfam family "Bacterial small subunit ribosomal RNA", at positions 568 to 774 of the family's 1533-position model. The record is from RNAcentral.